AAUAUAUAUGCGCUUGUAAAUCAUGCGUGGCAUCUGCCGCGCAGGAAGUUGGGUGAGAAUCCCACACAGGAACGCUGCUGUAUUAACGGAGCAGUCUUUUACGGGAAACCAGCCACUGGAAGCAAUUCUGGGAAGGCAAAAGGCUGCGAUGAGGUUUAAGUCAGAAUACGUUUACGAGAUGCUGUUGAA
RNAcentral lists this non-coding RNA (189 nucleotides) under Sporobacter termitidis. Lineage: Bacteria; Bacillati; Bacillota; Clostridia; Eubacteriales; Oscillospiraceae. The record is from RNAcentral. RNAcentral also lists the same sequence under 1 other name.